RNAcentral lists this ribosomal RNA (486 nucleotides) under uncultured bacterium. Its description in RNAcentral is "partial 16S ribosomal RNA". It matches the Rfam family "Bacterial small subunit ribosomal RNA", at positions 899 to 1397 of the family's 1533-position model. The record is from RNAcentral.
ACUCAAAGGAAUAGACGGGAACCCGCACAAGCGGUGGAGCAUGUGGUUUAAUUCGACGAUAAGCGUGGAACCUUACCAGGGUUUGACAUCCCGCGAAUUCUUGAGAAAUCGAGAAGUGCCCGCAAGGGAACGCGGUGACAGGUGCUGCAUGGUUGUCGUCAGCUCGUGUCGUGAGAUGUUGAGUUAAGUCUUUUAACGAGCGCAACCCUCAUCUCGUGUUACUUUUCACGAGAAACUGCCUCGGAUAACGAGGAGGAAGGUGAGGAUGACGUCAAAUCAGCAUGGCCCUUACACCCUGGGCUACACACGUGCUACAAUGGUCGGUACAAUGGGUCGCCAAGUCGCAAGACGGAGCUAAUCCCACCAAAGCCGGCCUCAGUUCGGAUUGGAGGCUGCAACUCGCCUCCAUGAAGCUGGAAUCGCUAGUAACCGCGCAUCAGCCAUGGUGCGGUGAAUACGUUCUCGGGUUUUGUACACACCGCCCGU